CCAAAAGGGAUUAGCUGCCUCGUGGUAUACCCCACCCGUGUCUAUCUACUCUUGUUGCUUUGGCAGGCCGUGGUCUUCCACUGUGGGCUCUGCCUGCAUGUGCCUGCCAGAGGACCAAACUCUGAAUUUUAGUGAUGUCUGAGUACUAUAUAAUAGUUAAAACUUUCAACAACGGAUCUCUUGGUUCUGGCAUCGAUGAAGAACGCAGCGAAAUGCGAUAAGUAAUGUGAAUUGCAGAAUUCAGUGAAUCAUCGAAUCUUUGAACGCACAUUGCGCCCUGUGGUAUUCCGCAGGGCAUGCCUGUUCGAGCGUCAUUACAACCAAAAUUGAGCCUAGCUUAGUGUUGGGGUUCGCAGUUCUGCGGCCCUUAAUAUCAGUGGCGGUGCCUGUAGGCUCUGAGCGUAGUAAUUCUUCUCGCUAUAGAGCCCUAUAAGUAUCUUGCCAGAACCCCCAUAUUUUUUCAGGUUGACCUCGGAUCAGGUACGGGAUACCCGCU
This 496-nucleotide ribosomal RNA is filed under the name fungal sp. TE05. RNAcentral describes it as "eukaryotic LSU rRNA". The stretch from base 161 to 314 matches the Rfam family "5.8S ribosomal RNA". The record is from RNAcentral. Lineage: Eukaryota; Fungi.